GUGAGGUCCGUGUUGGUUAUUUUUAACAUCAUGUGUGGUGUUUUGUGAAUAAUUGUUAGCCCAUUUACUUGAAUGGUUUGUAAUCUGUAUCUGUUUAGUGAUUGUUUGUUCAUUUCAGUUUUUUAUUGCUUCCUUGGUACUUUCAUCCUAGUUUUUCAAUAUUUUUAUAUAAUAUUUAAGAUCGAUCAGUUGUAGAAUAUUUUGUUUGUCAAAUUGUGGUUAACACCAAGCUCAUUUCUAUAUGUUCCUGUAUAAAAUUAACGUUCCGACGUUUAUUGUCAAUCUAAUGAUCAUUCGAGCCCAACAUCCAAAACCUAAUACAAGUGAGGAAAAGCUUUCAAAGACAUCAAAUACUAUUCGUAUGUUCAUGCCAGUAUAGAUGUACCCAAAGUGUAGUCAAAUCCGGAAAGGAAUCAGAGCUUUGUCAGUGGAAUUUAAUAUGCAAUUGAAGACGUUCGUUUCCUACAUUGAUUUAUGGCACAUGUCGUGUAUACGGUUUCUAAUUUAACUUGAC
Molecule: long non-coding RNA, 514 nt
Filed under: Mytilus galloprovincialis (Mediterranean mussel)
Lineage: Eukaryota; Metazoa; Mollusca; Bivalvia; Mytilida; Mytilidae
Source: RNAcentral